Molecule: non-coding RNA, 691 nt
Organism: Myodes glareolus (Bank vole)
Lineage: Eukaryota; Metazoa; Chordata; Mammalia; Rodentia; Cricetidae
Source: RefSeq, a predicted model, not a curated record
UGCCGCCGAGCCUCCCCACCAGGCCUUCUGAGUGCCGCCGAGCCUCCCCACCAGGCCUUCUGUGUGCCACCGAGCCUCCCCACCAGGCCUUCUGUGUGCUGCCGUGCCUUUCCGCCAGGCCCACUGUAUGCUGUUCCGCCUCCCCACCAUGAUGGAUGGACUCUUAGACUCUGUAUCCCUCUGGAAGUGUGCCUAUGGAGGCCAGAAGAUGGUGUCAGAUCCUGAAGCUGGAAUCACAGACUGUUGUAUAUUGCCCAAGCGCAUCCCUGUGCCUCUAGAAAAGAAGCCUCUAUUGACUGUUUCCAUGCGACCUGGACGUUACUGUGAGGCAGAAGCUCUUUCGGGUAUUGCGUGAGUUUUCCUGCCCAUUCCGUCCCCCAGAACCUGGUGGAAGUUAGACAGGCCUAUCUCUAAAGUCAGAGAGUGGAAUUUUUUUUACAAGAAGUAUGACGGAUGGCAGGAAUUGAGACAUGAUAAGAUCUUGUAGCUACGGCCUAGCUUCGAUCCUUAUAAUUUAUCACUUAAGCAUUCCUGCUUUUACAAGUUCACACCGGCAAUCACUUAAAGACUUGUAAAAAUUCCUGGCGCCAAGGAGACACACCUGAAGGUGAAGGGACAAAGUGGGUAGGUCACCUGCCAGGACAAGGCCAAGAGUACACGAUUUAAAAAAAAAAAAAAAUUGCGCCUGCGC